UACGAAGGUCCCAAGCGUUAUCCGGAUUUAUUGGGUUUAAAGGGUGCGUAGGAGGGCAGGUAAGUCAGUGGUGAAAUCUCCAAGCUUAACUUGGAAACUGCCGUUGAUACUAUCUGUCUUGAAUACCGUGGAGGUGAGCGGAAUAUGUCAUGUAGCGGUGAAAUGCUUAGAUAUGACAUAGAACACCAAUUGCGAAGGCAGCUCGCUACACGAAUAUUGACUCUGAGGCACGAAAGCGUGGGGAUCAAACAGG
Molecule: ribosomal RNA, 253 nt
Filed under: uncultured bacterium
Lineage: Bacteria
Description: partial 16S ribosomal RNA
Rfam family: Bacterial small subunit ribosomal RNA
Source: RNAcentral